This 468-nucleotide ribosomal RNA is filed under the name uncultured bacterium. Its description in RNAcentral is "partial 16S ribosomal RNA". It matches the Rfam family "Bacterial small subunit ribosomal RNA", at positions 28 to 507 of the family's 1533-position model. The record is from RNAcentral.
GACGAACGCUGGCGGCGUGCUUAACACAUGCAAGUCGAACGGAAAGGCCCUGCUUUUGUGGGGUGCUCGAGUGGCGAACGGGUGAGUAACACGUGAGUAGCCUGCCCUUGACUUUGGGAUAACUUCAGGAAACUGGGGCUAAUACCGGAUAGGAGCUCCUGCUGCAUGGUGGGGGUUGGAAAGUUUCGGCGGUUGGGGAUGGACUCGCGGCUUAUCAGCUUGUUGGUGGGGUAGUGGCUUACCAAGGCUUUGACGGGUAGCCGGCCUGAGAGGGUGACCGGCCACAUUGGGACUGAGAUACGGCCCAGACUCCUACGGGAGGCAGCAGUGGGGAAUAUUGCACAAUGGGCGGAAGCCUGAUGCAGCAACACCGCGUGCGGGAUGACGGCCUUCGGGUUGUAAACCGCUUUCGCCUGUGACGAAGCGUGAGUGACGGUAAUGGGUAAAGAAGCACCGGCUAACUACGUG